AGCAGCCGCGGUAAUUCCAGCUCCAAUAGCGUAUAUUAAAGUUGUUGCAGUUAAAAAAGCUCGUAGUUGAAUUUCGGGAUCAAUACGUCGGUCGUGCUUCGGUACGUACUGGCGUCAUUGGUUUCUCCCUUCUGACGAACCACGAUGUCAUUAACUUGGUGUCAUGGGAAAUCAGGACUGUUACUUUGAAAAAAUUAGAGUGUUUAAAGCAGGCUCACGCUUGAAUACAUUAGCAUGGAAUAAUGAAAUAGGACGUUCGAUCCUAUUUUGUUGGUUUCUAGGAUCAACGUAAUGAUUAAUAGGGAUAGUUGGGGGCAUUAGUAUUCACUUGUCAGAGGUGAAAUUCUUGGAUUUAUUGAAGACUAACUACUGCGAAAGCAUUUGCCAAGGAUGUUUUCAUUAAUCAAGAACGAAAGUUAGGGGAUCGAAGACGAUCAGAUACCGUCGUAGUCUUAACCAUAAACUAUGCCGACUAGGGAUCGGAUGAUGUUAAUUUUUAAUGACUCAUUCGGCGCCUUAA
RNAcentral lists this ribosomal RNA (520 nucleotides) under uncultured Glomus. Its description in RNAcentral is "SSU rRNA". It matches the Rfam family "Eukaryotic small subunit ribosomal RNA", at positions 569 to 1091 of the family's 1831-position model. Lineage: Eukaryota; Fungi; Glomeromycota; Glomeromycetes; Glomerales; Glomeraceae. The record is from RNAcentral.